GCUUUUAAAGAGGAUUCAAGCAGGUAAUCAUGACGUGUCCGUCCUAUUUAGUACAGGUAACCAUGACAUGACCCGUUUGAGUAUAUCUUUGCUUUCCCGAACAUAGUUAAAAGUUUAGGUCGCCGCCGCCAAUGGCUCCUCUCCCGUACUCCGCCGCGCCCACCACGGAAACCGCCUCUCCGCCUGCGUCCGCCGCCAUUCCACCAACGAUGGUCGGCCGUCCGUUAGGUCGUGGUUUCGCACUUGCAUGAGCUCCUUCCGCUUUUUACGAAUCUCUUGCGGUUCCUAAGACUGCACUUAAGACGCUUGCAAGAAUGCCAAACCCUGUUUCUUCUGCAAUUGGUAUAUUCUUGGAACCAGGUUUAUGUGGAUUCUAGGUGCUGUUCUGAUAUCCAGUACGAGAGAAGAGAACCAGAUACGCAGGAUGAUGCUGACAUUCUCGAUUUGCUCAUGAGCGUAAGGUUAUUGCCUUCCUUGCAGACAUAGGAAGUAUGCCAAAAGAGUAACAUAGAUCGCUUUCAAGCUGUACCUGAAGUAUAGACUCAUAAAAUUCCAUUGCAAUGAAGUUGCAUCCAACCAUUCAUGUAAGAAGUUAAACUUUCUGAUAAAUCUAGAGAUUUGUGAGAGAAUUUUAAUAUCUCAUGGAGGGAUAAGGGCAGCAUUUGAACCUUGAGAUUGCAAAAGGACCGAGCUUUUGGUGAGCUUGCUCUAAAGCUGCUGUCUCUUGCCGAGCUGCCAGACUCCAUGGGUCGACAAAACCACCUGUGGUAUCAGAGAAACACCUCUUGGCUCCUCCAAGACUGUGUCUAUUCUUCUGGUGUUGCAUGAUUCCAUCUUGGGUGGUGAUAUACCUUGGGAUCGUUCCACCUGCACAACUGCCACGUUUCCCGUCACCAACUUCCUGACCAUUCACUAGUGACAUGCCAAGCCUCAGCUCCAAAUUGUUCAGGUAGCCACUUGCAGUUUUAUUAGCUCUGUCUUCAUGAACUUCUCUUCUCCCAUCUUUAGGAGGUGGUUCAAGUACUGUGGCCUUCAUGGUCCUUCCUCUUGCUUGGGUGAGAUGAGCUUUGUGGCUGUAAGGAAUGAUGAAAGGCAGGGUGCAAGACUGCUCUUUUUGUUGGGUGUUUGCGAGGUGAGAAAAAUGAGGUGGAAUGAUGGUGGGAGGAGGGGUUGGAUGAAAAAGGAAGGGAGCUUUGUGGGGACUCUGGUGGCUAUUGAAGUGGAGUGGUGGGAGCAAGAAUGUGAGAACUGUGAAGGGCAGGCAGGCUUUGCUUUGUGGGGCUGGAGAGAGCUACUUUAUUUUGCUUUCUGCUUCUCUACCCAUCAAAUUCCUUUAGCUAAGUGGAUAUGUUUCCCACUUUUCUACCACACUGCCGAUACAUGCAGCCUCUCUAUCACCUCACAUAACCUGUUCAAUGGGCCUUGAACAGGUACUACUUAGGUUUAUCAUUUUGUGACUAUCAUGAUGAGAUAUAUGAGGAUUGCUGCUCCAUGCAAGGUCAUUGGUACUCUAGCAUGUCAAGGAUUUUUUUUUUUUUUCUAAUAAACAUAUGGGCUUAUGUUUGGGUUGAUGCAAUAUUGUUGUUGAUUGCAGGAAAUGAUUAGCCAAAUACAACCUGGAAAAUUAUAAGCCAAGAUUUCCCAGCUGUAAGAUGGGAAACUUGGGACAUGAGUCUUCAGCUUAACACAAUACUAGAUGGGAAUGGGAAGAGUAUACAAGUGGAGUAGAGCCUCUUGCGAAGAAAUGGCCAUCAUCUCGAUGUACCCCGAAUGAACAGGAGAGAGAAGCCUUUUUGCUCCUUGUCAAGAGCAACAUGGUUAUCAUCUUGGCAUGGAGAGAAGGAAGUCAUGUUUAUCUCCCUCGGGAGACAACAAGAUGGCAGUGAAGAUACAGCAAGCUUGUUUUGGGAUAGUCGUAAUCAUCAAAGCAAAUCCACCAUGAGAAGCUUGUCCUGAGGUUGAGCUUGUUCUGUUCUUGUCACUUGAGAUUCCUGGUGGAGUUCCCUACACUUCUCUUUGUGGCUGUCUCUUUCCACCAAACCAACAACAGCUCAGUUCUUGACAAUCUAAUUGAGUGACAAAUCUUCCAUGGAUGAAUUAUUUUACCAAGUUAUGAGUUGAGAAUAAAUGGAAAUAGAAGAGUGUAAUAUAUUGAAUGUGUUGUUAAAUAGCUUUAUGUGCAAUCAAGAGGUCUGGAUUUUGAGUUCUAUUGUUGACCUCCAAAAUCAGCAUGAGGUGCAGCCCCAUUUCUCAUUCAGAUAAAACUGAGAAUUUGUAUAGCAUUAGAGGUCCUUAAAAGUUGUUACUUAAUAGUCUUUUUGUAUAUAUGUCUUAUAAUUUUAUGUGAGGUUCUAAAACUAUUUUUUUA
Long non-coding RNA from Musa acuminata AAA Group (dessert banana), 2368 nucleotides. RefSeq lists it as uncharacterized. The transcript is spliced from 6 exons. The record is from RefSeq and is a predicted model, not a curated record. Lineage: Eukaryota; Viridiplantae; Streptophyta; Magnoliopsida; Zingiberales; Musaceae.